CGGACGGGUGAGUAAUGUCUGGGAAACUGCCUGAUGGAGGGGGGUAACUACUGGAAACGGUAGCUAAUACCGCAUAACGUCGCAAGGCCAAAGAGGGGGACCUUAGGGCCUCUUGCCAUCGGAUGUGCCCAGAUGGGAUUAGCUAGUAGGUGGGGUAACGGCUCACCUAGGCGACGAUCCCUAGCUGGUCUGAGAGGAUGACCAGCCACACUGGAACUGAGACACGGUCCAG
Molecule: ribosomal RNA, 232 nt
Filed under: uncultured bacterium
Lineage: Bacteria
Description: partial 16S ribosomal RNA
Rfam family: Bacterial small subunit ribosomal RNA
Source: RNAcentral